UAACUAAUGCGGCUCAAUUGGACUCUUACUACCAUGUCACCCAAAAGGAACUGAUUUCUCCCUUGGUAUGUUGUCAAACGUUGAUAAGAUGCAGCUUGGAAUCCAAGAUCCAUUUCGUCAAACAAAUGAUCCAAGGAUACUACGCCUGGUGACUUGUAAUAUAAUUGCACAAAUACACCUAGUGAACCGAAAAACCGUUUACUCAAUGGUAGUGAUAAUACUCCAUCUAUUCGCAAUGGUUCCGUGUUCUCUAUCGAUGGCAGCACUUUCCAGACGAUGAAAAUCGACACGGCAAAUAUCCUACAAUGACUAA
RNAcentral lists this unclassified non-coding RNA (313 nucleotides) under Athalia rosae (coleseed sawfly). Its description in RNAcentral is "misc RNA ENSAEAG00005009593.1". The record is from RNAcentral. Lineage: Eukaryota; Metazoa; Arthropoda; Insecta; Hymenoptera; Athaliidae.